GCGGCAGGCUAACACAUGCAAGUCGAGCGGAUGAGGGGAGCUUGCUUCUGACUCAGCGGCGGACGGGUGAGUAAUGCCUAGGCAUCUGCCCGAUAGUGGGGGACAACGUUUCGAAAGGAACGCUAAUACCGCAUACGUCCUACGGGAGAAAGUAGGGGAUCUUCGGACCUCACGCUAUCGGAUGAGCCUAGGUCGGAUUAGCUAGUUGGUGAGGUAAUGGCUCACCAAGGCGACGAUCCGUAACUGGUCUGAGAGGAUGAUCAGUCACACUGGGACUGAGACACGGUCCAGACUCCUACGGGAGGCAGCAGUGGGGAAUAUUGGACAAUGGGCGAAAGCCUGAUCCAGCCAUGCCGCGUGUGUGAAGAAGGUCUUCGGAUUGUAAAGCACUUUAAGUUGGGAGGAAGGGCAGUAAGUUAAUACCUUGCUGUUUUGACGUUACCAACAGAAUAAGCACCGGCUAACUUCGUGCCAGCAGCCGCGGUAAUACGAAGGGUGCAAGCGUUAAUCGGAAUUACUGGGCGUAAAGCGCGCGUAGGUGGUUCAGCAAGUUGGAUGUGAAAGCCCCGGGCUCAACCUGGGAACUGCAUCCAAAACUACUGGGCUAGAGUAUGGUAGAGGGUGGUGGAAUUUCCUGUGUAGCGGUGAAAUGCGUAGAUAUAGGAAGGAACACCAGUGGCGAAGGCGACCACCUGGACUAAUACUGACACUGAGGUGCGAAAGCGUGGGGAGCGAACAGGAUUAGAUACCCUGGUAGUCCACGCCGUAAACGAUGUCAACUAGUUGUUGGGUUCCUUGAGAACUUAGUAACGAAGCUAACGCGAUAAGUUGACCGCCUGGGGAGUACGGCCGCAAGGUUAAAACUCAAAGGAAUUGACGG
This 880-nucleotide ribosomal RNA is filed under the name uncultured bacterium. RNAcentral's name for it is "bacterial SSU rRNA". It matches the Rfam family "Bacterial small subunit ribosomal RNA", at positions 39 to 916 of the family's 1533-position model. The record is from RNAcentral.